GGACUACCUCUCCUACAUCUGGUACAAAAAUGGAGAGGAAAUUGAGGAUGAAACAUCUUUUUUAUAUUAUUCAGAGGACUAUGGAUCUGCAAACAACUUUUCCUGUGCUUUAAAAGGAGAGGAGGAUUUCCCUUCUCCUCCAGUCUGUAAGUUUACUUCAAAAUCUGCUGCAAACUAAAUAUCACACUCAGGGGAAGCUUUACAUAAGCAUGAGGGGUGAAGACAGAAAUUUUAAUAAAGUUAUUAGUGCAAUAAUUUGAUAAGAGCUUUUAAAUGUUGAGCCAUAAAGGUAUAUAUACAAUUGAAAUUAACUAAAUAUAUAAUUCUAAUUGAAUUGCAAUGAUGAAUGUUCAUUUACAACCAUUUUUCCCAAAGGCUAGACGAUGACAACCUCAAAUACAUAAUCUGUUGAAAAAACUCAGAAUAAUAUAUGUUGAUGAUGAUGGGACACAAUUGUUUUGGUUGGACAUUGAAAAUGUACCGUAUUUUGACUAAAAACAGCAAUAAGAGUUUUCUGUAUCCAACAGUAACUGCAUGAAGGGCUUCUUAUAAUAACUUCCUUCUCCUCAUGUAUUUUAAUGUCUUUUAUUGAUUCCUAAUGUUCUCUGUGUUAUAGUGAUUCCAGAUCAGGAAUUGAGGGCAGUGAAUUGCCUCCAUGCUGAAGUCUGUGG
This is a non-coding RNA of Xyrichtys novacula (pearly razorfish), 671 nucleotides long. The record is from the annotation of a GenBank genome assembly. NCBI's taxonomy places the organism in Eukaryota, Metazoa, Chordata, Actinopteri, Labriformes, Labridae.